This 154-nucleotide long non-coding RNA is filed under the name Aotus nancymaae (Ma's night monkey). RNAcentral's name for it is "lncRNA (ENSANAG00000038962.1)". The record is from RNAcentral. Lineage: Eukaryota; Metazoa; Chordata; Mammalia; Primates; Aotidae.
CAUGUUUAGAGGACAUUUAAGCUGUGUGCUGGUUGAGACCCACCUUCGUGAGGCUCAGGCUCAGCUGCUCUUCCCCAGCGUUCUUCAGGCCCCUUUCCCACUGGUCGGAGGCCUAUUCAGAAUCUGGCUCAGGAGCAUUUGGGAGAAGCUGUGA